CACAUGGCAAGAGGGCUUUGAAGAUGUGAUUGAGUCAAGGAUCUUGAAUGGGGAGAUUAUCCUGAAUUAUUCAGCUGGACCCAGUGUAAUCACAAAGGUUUUUCAAAGAUGGAAGAGAGGCAGAAGAGCCAGAAAAGGAUAUGUGACAAUGGAGUCAGUGUCAGAGUUGGAGUGACGUGAUGUGAGAAGGAUUCAACCUGCUGUUUCUGGCUUUGAGGAUGAAAGAAGGGGCCAUGAGCCAAGCAAUACAGGUGGCUUCUUUCAAGAAGUUGGAAAAGGACUGCAUCAUUGCUUACCCAACAUGACUCAGCCUCGGUAUUGCCACUGACUCACGGAGCUCCUAAUAGAGGAGAAUUAGUGUCACAGAUCGACUGGAAAACCAAUCCACAUGAAGCCAGGAAGAGAAAUGAAGCUGCUGUUGCUGAAUCCAUAGCUGGCCUUAAUGAUGCUGGCUAGGAAAGACGGCCCAUUCUGGGGGAGAUAAGUCAAUUUUGCAGUGUCUGUUAUUAUCAUAGUGACUAUUGUCUUCCUGUUUUAUAUUUAUUUACCUAAAUUGUUUUGGAAAGACUCAGAGGUAUAGAGACAUGCCUACUUUUUGCAAAAAUCAUCACACUGUCAUGGAGGUAGUCCAGGCUAUGGGGCUCUUAUUUGUUGGUGUCUUGGGCAAGUUGCUUGACCUCUGAUCAUUGUUUGCUUAUUCUUAUAUGGCCCCUGUAUUUCAGACUCACUCUGUGUCAGGCAUUUGUUUACCUUUGUAGCAAGCUCAGGAGGAAAAUACCAUUGCCCUUGUUUUACAGGUGAUGAAACUGUACGUUUUCCAAGGACACAGUGCUAGUAAGUAAUGAAUGUGAAAUUUUAACUGUUUCAAUCUCUUCUCAGAGCCAGUGCUAACUACUCUCCUAAACUUCCUCUCAUCUGUAAAAUAUGGAUGAUAAUAACACCUCUUACAGAGUUGUUGUACAUAUUAAAUAAUAGAACUGUGAAAUGUGUAGUACUUCAUUA
Molecule: long non-coding RNA, 1002 nt
Filed under: Homo sapiens (human)
Lineage: Eukaryota; Metazoa; Chordata; Mammalia; Primates; Hominidae
Description: HSALNT0348241
Source: RNAcentral